GUUGAACGCUGGCGGCACGCCUAACACAUGCAAGUCGAGCGGUAACAUGAUUAGUAGCAAUACUAAUUGAUGACGAGCGGCGGACGGGUGAGUAACACGUAGGAACCUAACCGAGAGAGGGGGACAACCAAGGGAAACUUUGGCUAAUACCGCGUGAUCUCGAAAGAGUAAAGUUGCCGGAAACGGUGACGCUUUUGGAAGGGCCUGCGUCCGAUUAGCUAGUUGGUGAGGUAAAGGCUUACCAAGGCGAUGAUCGGUAACUGGUCUGAGAGGACGACCAGUCACACUGGGACUGAGACACGGCCCAGACUCCUACGGGAGGCAGCAGUGGGGAAUAUUGGACAAUGGGGGCAACCCUGAUCCAGCGAUGCCGCGUGAGUGAAGAAGGCCUUCGGGUCGUAAAGCUCUUUAGGUUGGGAAGAAGUGUAGUGGAGGAUAAUGCUGCUACAUUGACGGUACCGACAGAAUAAGCACCGGCAAACUCUGUGCCAGCAGCCGCAGUAA
RNAcentral lists this ribosomal RNA (504 nucleotides) under uncultured bacterium. RNAcentral's name for it is "partial 16S ribosomal RNA". It matches the Rfam family "Bacterial small subunit ribosomal RNA", at positions 28 to 523 of the family's 1533-position model. The record is from RNAcentral.